RNAcentral lists this ribosomal RNA (267 nucleotides) under uncultured bacterium. Its description in RNAcentral is "partial 16S ribosomal RNA". It matches the Rfam family "Bacterial small subunit ribosomal RNA", at positions 333 to 616 of the family's 1533-position model. The record is from RNAcentral.
UUGCGCCUACGGGGGGCAGCAGUGGGGGAUAUUGCACAAUGGGGGGAACCCUGAUGCAGCGACGCCGCGUGGGUGAAGAAGUAUUUCGGUAUGUAAAGCCCUAUCGGCAGGGAAGAAAUUGGACGGUACCUUACUAAGAAGCCCCGGCUAACUACGUGCCAGCAGCCGCGGUAAUACUUAGGGGGCAAGCGUUAUCCGGAUUCACUGGGUGUAAAGUGAGCGUAGACGGCCAUGCCAGCCUGGGGUGAAAGCCCGGGGCCCAACCCC